This 301-nucleotide ribosomal RNA is filed under the name uncultured bacterium. RNAcentral describes it as "partial 16S ribosomal RNA". It matches the Rfam family "Bacterial small subunit ribosomal RNA", at positions 509 to 807 of the family's 1533-position model. The record is from RNAcentral.
CAGUAGCCGCGGUAAUACGAAGGGUGCAAGCGUUACUCGGAAUUACUGGGCGUAAAGCGUGCGUAGGUGGUGGUUUAAGUCCGUUGUGAAAGCCCUGGGCUCAACCUGGGAAUUGCAGUGGAUACUGGGCGACUAGAGUGCGGUAGAGGAUAGUGGAAUUUCCGGUGUAGCAGUGAAAUGCGUAGAGAUCGGAAGGAACAUCUGUGGCGAAGGCGACUAUCUGGGCCAACACUGACACUGAGACACGAAAGCGUGGGGAGCAAACAGGAUUAGAUACCCCCGUAGUCCCUGUCUCUUAUAC